UUAACCACUCGGCCACGGGGCCAGCCCCUAGAUUUCAUAAAAUUUAUAGCUGAAAAACUUCAUAUACCCACGUUAUUCCAGUCACCCAUAAAAGUUUUCCAAUAACUGAAUUGAGUACCAAUUUCAAAGUCGAAUUAAUUAAAAUUAAAUAAAGUUUAAAACUUAGUUCCUCUGUUACCCUAGACACAUUUCAAGGGCUCAACAGUGUCAUGUGGCUGGUGGCUACCAUUCUGGACAGUAAGGUUAUCCCAUGAAGUCUCAAACUGCAUGACUGCUCCCAGGCCUCAGAGCAUGGCUCUUCCUGUUCUAAAGCCCAGGAGAGCUGAGGCUCUGCCCUCUCCUAGCUUGUCCUGCUCCCAACACCAUUGAUCUGUCUCCGGGCUCAGUUCCCGUGUCAGGCUCACACUGUGCAAUUACACAGAUGGCACACUUCAUAAUCCCAGGGGACACCACUCACACUGCAGUGCACCACUAGUGGCCUUCAGUGAUGCUGUCAGCUCAGACAAACUUCUCACCUAAAGCCUGGUUGGUUACAGGAAUCCAGAACACCCUCAGCUCCAGCUUCUCCCUCCAUCGGCCUCUCUCAUGAUGUGCUCUGCUCCGUCUCCUCAACCUCCCUUCACAUCCACCAGGAUUGGAGCAGCUGGCCAUGUCUCCUCUGAUGAUACUCCUCUCCAGGAGAGCUCUUUACCAUGGACAGACACCUCCAUCAUAGCUCCACGAUCAGGGCUCACUUGAGGAAAUGUCUUGUCCUCACCUUCCAAGAGCCACCCUGGGGGCAGAAUACACUUCCUGCACCAGAGCAGCUUGGUCAUGUGACUUGCUUCUGCCAGUGGAAGUGCAAAUGCCACAAUGGAACAACAGCUUUAAGAGCAGGUAGCAGGAUGAAGAAACGACUGAAGGAACCUGACUUCCUACCAUGAAAAAGGUCUGGUGUGAAAGAAAGCAAUACCUGUGAAAAGUCAAACAUCUCAUCACAUACAAACCAAAUCUUCCCAGGACCUAUUAAAAUGUAGCUGUAUUCUUGGUGAACUGUCUGCCUGUGCAGUGAAGGGAAAAUGGGGCAUCUACGGAAUGCAGAAAGCCUUUUCUUUCAGGUAUUCACCAAGAACCUGGCCAAUGCCACUCCUGGCUGGCGUGUUUGAGUGUUAGAUCUCGGUGAGUAGAAGUUACAGAAGCAUGCAACGAAACCAAGUAUUUGGCUUUGGCACAAGAGGGAACCAACGGAUAAUUGAGGGUGAGAAAUGGUCUAUAACUUUUCACCCCCGUGGUGAUGAACCUAUAAUUCCCAAGUUGUUUGUGUAAUUUUCUAUUUCUACCACAUCAGUGACAAAUAUUAUUUUGUACUGCGUGUUCCUUGUGGAUUGUUUUUUUUCAUCAGCAGGGUCCAAUUAAGAUGCCUGAAAGGAAAAUAACAUACCUGGGGCCAUCAUACCUAGCGAGAAACGCUGCGGAUGCACCCAGGAGGAAAAAUAGAGACUUCGCUGGAAGCCGUAGAGUUCCUCCUGCAAAACACUGCUCUGGUAUCGAUAGACUUACAAAUGUGUGUCAAAUGAUCUCACUAGAGGAAAUGCUCAGACGUUCAAAUUUGACGUCAAGCUGUCGAGGAACCCUUUGUGUUUGGCAUAGGUCCUGAGGCUGCAAAAGUUCUCCACAGAAGGCUCUGAUAGUGGCUGUUUUCCCUCAUUUGACUGAGCCUGUUUAAAUUCAGGACUAUACUUAGACAACUAUGUUUCGUAAUGGUAUUAGGUGUCAGAGUUCUAUAUUUUAAAAUUUAUUUAGUGUAAGAGGUGAUUUUUUUUAACUUCUAUAUGAGUUACACAGCUUUCGUCAGGAGUGGGGGAGCCACUCUUUCCAAAUGCAUCUCUGAGGAUAAUUUAUUCAAAGAAUGUCUCUUGACAUGUGAUUCCAGGUUUUUGGUGUUUGCUGUUUUCAAAUCACUUUUACUCAGCAAACACUUACUAAAUUGUUGACUGUGCGAAGCUCAAUGUGAGGUGCUGUUUACAGGAUGUUAAUGACCUGGAAGUAAUUCACCUUGACAGAGGCCAACACCCUUUGAUUAUAAAAACUCUCAGAAAACUAGGACUAUAAGGGAACUCCUUCAACAUGAUAAAAGACAUUUAUAAAACAAUAAACCAAAAAGAGUCACAGCUAACAUUAUACUUAAUGGUAAAAGACUGAAAGCUUUCCCCAUAAAAUCAGGAAGAGGACAAGGAUCCCCACUUUUACCACUACUAUUCAACAUUGUUUUGGGAGUUCUAGCCAGAGCAAUUAGACAAGAAAAAUAAAAGGAUCCAAUUUGGAAAGGAAGAAAUAACCCUAUCUCUAUUCACAGAUGACAUGGUCCUCUAUAUCGAAAAUCCUAAAGAAUCCACAAGAAUACUGCUAGAGCUAAUAAGCAAAUUAGCAAAAGUGCAGGUGCUCCAUUUUUUGGUCAUAGUUUAGUACUUUAGUGUCCUUACUGAUUAAAUCUAAUGGCUUGUCCUCAGAGCAAGAUUUAAUGUUUUAAAAUGUGAAUAUGGAAGGUCUCUUAUUGUGUGAUCAGAAAUAAUUUCAUUUACUGCCCCCAUAUUCAGCUUCAUGUGUGAAAUUCUCAUGAUAUUAUUUUGGCAGUGGGUCAAAUUUUGGUUAAAUUCCAAACACUUAUAAAACUAGUAACACAUCAAGUUUCAUUAUGUCUGGGAAACAAUUCAUUUAUUAGGUGAUCUCCUGAGAGCAGAUGAUACCGCGUAAAAAAACUAGAGGGAGAAGAGUGAGGAUUGCCUGCAAAGUGGAGUCUGGUGGGAAGGACAGAGAGAUGACAGGGGCUUUAAAGGAAGGUGAAGAAAGAUGGGGCAGAGGAACCAAGUAAAAGAUACUGUAGACCUUGCCUAUUCGUUAUAAUAGCCGUGAGCGGCAUCUGACUAUUCAGAUUUAACUACAAUGAAAAAUUAAAUUCCUUAGUUGCAUUAGCCACAUUCCAAGUGUUUGGUUACUACAGGUGGCUGGGGACUACCAUAUUGGACAGCGUGGCUAUGGAACAUUUUUAUCCUUGCAGAGAAUCUGUGGGACAGGGCUGCUUUGUCCUAUUUCACUCAACAAUACAUAGUGAAUACAUUCUCUUGUCAAAACGAUCUCAAAUUCACUGUUUAGUGAUUGAAUAGCAUUUGAUAUAUUAAUAGACCGUGAUUUUUAAAAAUCAAUCAUUACAAAAAUAGCUUUUUUGUAGCUUUUUAUCAUAAAUAGACCUAUGAUUUAAAAAAACCUUGUAGCAGAAUUUUUGUGCUCAUCUUAACUUACUUACUUAGAAUAAAUUUUUAGAAAUAAAAUGCUUGGAUCAAAUGUUAUAAACAUUUUUUUUAAGGCUUUUGAUAUGUGUGGCCAAAUUCCUGUCAGAAACUUUGUCUGUUUACAUACCAUAAGCAUAAGUGACAGGAGACUCAUUUAAUUUUGAAAUAAAUAGAACUAUGCCCUAAAGCGCAAAAACAAAACAAAACAGAGCAGCCCCAGAGCUGCUGAAAAACGGAACUUCAAUUGAAAAAGAGAACUUCAAAUUUGGGUAGGAAUAGCUGUGAGGAUUUAAGCCAAUAUGCAACAACAAAAAAUAAUAAUUAGUGACCAUUUUUACAGCAUUCCUGUGUGGGGGGCACUAUUUAGGCAUUUUGUAUGUUGACUCCAUCUUCAGUAGCCUUGGGAGUCAGGUCCCACCAUUACCGCAUUCAUCUAGAUAGAGGAAAGGGAGGCGCCUAGAGUCAAGCAACUUGCCUGAGAUCACACACUAAGCCCCAAAGCUAGGAUUUGAAUUCACUUGGGUUCAUCCAGACUGGUGAGCGUUCAGCAGUCCAUGCCUUUAACCACCAUACUCCAUUGCCUCGCAACCAUUUUAUUCAGAUCCCAGUGGACUCAAAUAUUGUGGGUUGAAGUGUGUCUCUCAGAAAGAUAUGUUGAAGUCCUAAGCUCCAAUACCUCAGAAUGUGACCUUAUUUGGAAAUAGGGUCAUUGGAAAUGUAAUCAGUUAAGAGGAGGUCAUCCUCCAGUAGGGUGGACUCCUAAUUCAAUAUGACCAGUGCCCUGAGAAGAAGAUGGCCACGUGAAGACACAGACACACAAGGAGAACACCCUGUGAUGACAAAGACAGAGAAUGGAGUUAGGGCAACUGCAAGCCAAGGAGCACCAGAUGGCCAGCAAAUCACCAGAAAGAAGCUCGGAAGAGGGAAGGAAAGAUACUCCUCCAGGUUUCAGAGGGAGCACGGCCUUGCUGAACCCAAAGUUCAGACUUGUAGCCUCCAGAACUCUGAGACAUUCCUGUUGUUUUAAGCCACUAAGUUUGUGGUACCUUGUCACAGCAGCCUCGGGAAACUGGGCCACCAAGUAACUUAGAAAGACAUUUCAGUGUCUGACCAGACGCCCAGUUAGUCCACGAGCACGUCUCCUUUACUGAUCAUUUUGCCCCACUAUUACAUCUGUCAGAUAACUACUUGGUGCCCAAUCAAGGGUCCGAAGGCCAGAAAUAAUGUGGUUGCAGUUGUGCCUGGCUCUUGGAAAUACCAAAGAACACUCUGACUGACUCACUCUGACUCUUUUAUUGAAUCUGCCAACGCUGUAUUCACUUUCUGGGAAGCUAAUAAUUGUAUAUUUUUGUUCAUUUUGGAGGGGCAAUGAUUCACUAAGACAGCGUGACCCAUGCUGGUAUCAUGCAGUGGCGUUUAGAUUAGUCUACCUUGUAGGAAGAAGUUUAAGGUUUAAACAACAGUCACUUAUUCAUGAA
Molecule: non-coding RNA, 4747 nt
Organism: Equus caballus (horse)
Lineage: Eukaryota; Metazoa; Chordata; Mammalia; Perissodactyla; Equidae
Source: RefSeq, a predicted model, not a curated record